Molecule: ribosomal RNA, 495 nt
Filed under: uncultured bacterium
Lineage: Bacteria
Description: partial 16S ribosomal RNA
Rfam family: Bacterial small subunit ribosomal RNA
Source: RNAcentral
GACGAACGCUGGCGGCGUGCCUAAUACAUGCAAGUAGGACGCUGAAGGAGGAGCUUGCUUCUCUGGAUGAGUUGCGAACGGGUGAGUAACGCGUAGGUAACCUGCCUGGUAGCGGGGGAUAACUAUUGGAAACGAUAGCUAAUACCGCAUAAGAGUAGAUGUUGCAUGACAUUUACUUAAAAGGUGCAAUUGCAUCACUACCAGAUGGACCUGCGUUGUAUUAGCUAGUUGGUGAGGUAACGGCUCACCAAGGCAACGAUACAUAGCCGACCUGAGAGGGUGAUCGGCCACACUGGGACUGAGACACGGCCCAGACUCCUACGGGAGGCAGCAGUAGGGAAUCUUCGGCAAUGGACGGAAGUCUGACCGAGCAACGCCGCGUGAGUGAAGAAGGUUUUCGGAUCGUAAAGCUCUGUUGUAAGAGAAGAACGAGUGUGAGAGUGGAAGGUUCACACUGUGACGGUAGCUUACCAGAAAGGGACGGCUAACUACGUG